CACUAUAAGAUAAUUUCAUUCUAAAAAGAAAAUAUAUAGAACACAAAUUUCAUGAAAAUCCUUACUUCCUGCGAACCACAUCACAUAAUGAAAAGCAAAAACAUAAAAUUUAACAAGCUAGGAUGAGAUUAGAGUGUGGCUGCAUUAAUGAAAAUACACUAAAUUGAUAGUUUCUGCAAGUGCAACAGGACAACCACAGUAACAAAAGGGCCCUCGCUUGUUAUCUUUAAUCCUCCAACCUUCUUCCCCACCUUCACAGUCCUUCAACUACGACAUCAAAAUGAAAAGAGAAAUUAUAGAAGCAUGCAUGGCACAACUCUGUGCUAGCUGCAAGCAUAACUUCCUAGCUAAACGACAACACAGACCUUAUUCAUGAUCACAAUACUAGACGAUUAUUCAGCAACCCAGAGAGAGCUGACAUGACUGGUUAGUUUUAGCAAUCUGAUCCAAAGCAGAUCCCUAUUGGAUAUAGGCAUCCACAGUUUCCGCAACAAUUCUUUGGAUUGGGAAAGCACCAGCCUCCACUAGAGAUACAACCAAGGUUACUUUCAUCUUGCAGCAAUAUGUUUGAAGUCAUGAGCAGUGGAAAUUGCCGCAUAGCAAGGGCGGACGGGGCAAUGGUGGCGACAAAAACCAAGGCAACCAUCAGCAGCAGAGUGACCUUCUUGCUGUCCAUGAUCUCUGUCUUACUCUUGAUCUAUGGCUACUUCGCUUCUGAAGUUGUUAAAAGCUUGUAUGUUGCAUGAUACCUUGGCUUGAGACUUCAAUUUAUAAUGGUGGGAGAUAUACAAGCUGUAGCUUUAUAAUAAUUGAAUAUAUAUCUGCAUAUAUGCAUGGGGUUUCACCUCAUCAACAG
This 856-nucleotide long non-coding RNA is filed under the name Populus trichocarpa (black cottonwood). RNAcentral's name for it is "long non-coding RNA (PTRI_LNC003745)". Lineage: Eukaryota; Viridiplantae; Streptophyta; Magnoliopsida; Malpighiales; Salicaceae. The record is from RNAcentral.